UUCUGGUUGAUCCUGCCAGAGGCCACUGCUAUCGGAGUUCGAUUAAGCCAUGCGAGUCGAGAGGUGCAAGACCUCGGCAUACUGCUCAGUAACACGUGGACAAUCUAACUUAUGGAAGGGGAUAACCCCGGGAAACUGGGGAUAAUACCCUAUAGACUAUGAAUGCUGGAAUGCUUUGUAGUCCAAAGGUCAGCCGCCAUAGGAUGGGUCUGCGGCCGAUUAGGUUGUUGUUGGGGUAACGGCCCAACAAGCCUGUAAUCGGUACGGGUUGUGGGAGCAAGAGCCCGGAGAUGGAUUCUGAGACACGAAUCCAGGCCCUACGGGGCGCAGCAGGCGCGAAAACUUUACAAUGCGGGAAACCGUGAUAGGGGAACUCCGAGUGCCCGUUAAAUCGGGCUGUCCAUCAGUUUAAAUAACUGGUGAAGAAAGGGCCGGGCAAGACCGGUGCCAGCCGCCGCGGUAAUACCGGCGGCUCGAGUGGUGGCCACUAUUACUGGGCUUAAAGCGUUCGUAGCUGGUUUGUUAAGUCUCUGGGGAAAUCUUCCGGCUUAACCGGAAGGCGUUUCAGGGAUACUGGCAGACUAGGGACCGGGAGAGGUGAGGGGUACUCCAGGGGUAGGAGUGAAAUCCUGUAAUCCUUGGGGGACCACCUGUGGCGAAGGCGCCUCACCAGAACGGCUCCGACAGUGAGGGACGAAAGCUGGGGGAGCAAACCGGAUUAGAUACCCGGGUAGUCCCAGCCGUAAACGAUGUGCGUUAGGUGUAUCGGUGACCACGAGUCACCGAGGUGCCGAAGAGAAAUCGUGAAACGUACCGCCUGGGAAGUACGGUCGCAAGGCUGAAACUUAAAGGAAUUGGCGGG
RNAcentral lists this ribosomal RNA (862 nucleotides) under uncultured Methanosphaerula sp. RNAcentral's name for it is "bacterial SSU rRNA". It matches the Rfam family "Archaeal small subunit ribosomal RNA", at positions 1 to 872 of the family's 1478-position model. Lineage: Archaea; Methanobacteriati; Methanobacteriota; Methanomicrobia; Methanomicrobiales; Methanoregulaceae. The record is from RNAcentral.